GCUAUUGUAGUAUAAACAUUACCCUGGUCUUGUAAACCAGUAAUUGCCUAGCACUAUAGCU
This 61-nucleotide transfer RNA is filed under the name Phascolosoma similis. RNAcentral's name for it is "tRNA-Thr". Lineage: Eukaryota; Metazoa; Annelida; Sipuncula; Phascolosomatiformes; Phascolosomatidae. The record is from RNAcentral.